GAGCAGGGGCGUUGGACUAGAUGAUCUGCAGAGGUCCCUUCCAAUCUCAACCAUUCUGUGUGAUUCUGUGUCUGUGUUAAUUCUGACACUUAGCUCUUUCUCAACUAGGCAAUAUGAUUUCUGGACUUUAGACUAAAGAAGCAGUCUGUGUAUGCUAUAUGAGCAUUGGGGAUUCUUUUCAGGGGGAGAGGGAUAGGGUGCUUUGAUUUUUUUCUUGUUGUUGUUUCCUUUUUUUUUUUCCUCCAUGAGAGCUUUCAUGGUCUGUGCCAUAAAUGUGAACUUUGUUGGUAUUUUCUCAGGAAAUUGGAUUCUGUGAGAAGGCCUCUUUUGCUACUUUGGUUCUCUUCCUGAAGACAUUAAUUUUGUCCCCUUUAAGUCUCCAUUAGAAACUCCUUUAAAAUCAUGGAAACUAUGUACAAACUGUCUAAUGUAUUUGCUCAUAUUGAUGUAACUUAUUCAGUCUAAUAUCCCUUUAUGUGUACUUUUUUUAAUCUUAGUGAAGCGAGGACUGACAAAGGACAUAACCUGUCUGAAGGAUUUUAUGAGAGAUCCCAAAAGAGAAGAACCUUUAGUUGGAUUAGAACAUGUGGUUGAAAUCAGAUUUGAAGGAAGAAAAGAGCCACAUUACGAGUGCAAGCUGUGUGGGUUUAAUACAGAGAUGGCACCUAUGAUAGAACAUCUUAGUGGAUAUAAACACAGAAGAGCAUACAUUUCUAAAGAAUUUCCAGAUAAAAUGAAGAGAAAGACAACAGAUGUAAAAGAAUGCAAAGUCUCAUUUCUCAGACGGAUAGCAGGAGAGAUAGAGAAGACUGAAGGAUUAAAAAUGUAUGAGAUUGAAGGUUACAUAAGACCAAGUACCUCACGUAAGUUUAUGAAUUACUUGAAUAUAGUAUAUAUAAUAUGUAAUUGA
Molecule: long non-coding RNA, 910 nt
Filed under: Apteryx haastii (Great spotted kiwi)
Lineage: Eukaryota; Metazoa; Chordata; Aves; Apterygiformes; Apterygidae
Description: lncRNA (ENSAHAG00000010034.1)
Source: RNAcentral